Long non-coding RNA from Dermacentor andersoni, 4090 nucleotides. RefSeq lists it as uncharacterized. Lineage: Eukaryota; Metazoa; Arthropoda; Arachnida; Ixodida; Ixodidae. The record is from RefSeq and is a predicted model, not a curated record.
GCACUAGCGCCACUGUUCGCGGCGGCGGUUUGGAAAACUAAAAAAAAACCACACAAGCAAAAGCAAAUCCGCGGCGCUGGCGCGGAGCCGAAGGCGCAGGUCGCGCCUUAUACAGUAGGUCGUGGUUCUGCGAACCGCAAUGUGGCGUCGCCGUGUCCGACUUCGCUUGACGGACAUCGAGGGAUGUGCUGCUCGCUGCAAGUAAUGUAAAUGCAACUGCGUCGACCGCCCACUGUUCAGCGCUGAAUGCGUGUUUGGUGUGCUGUGCUUGAAACGAGUGGUGCAGACGUGCAGCGGGGGUGGCGGAGGAGCAUAGUGGCUUAGGGGCUCCGUUUGCGCGUUCACAGACAUGUGCUCCCAUCUUGGUCUCAUUAGCGGCUGUCGCGAGAUUGUGGUGUGCUAGCUCCUUGCCUAGUAUAAAGUUUGCCACGCUAACGCACAGCAUGUUCACGUUUUUCCGAGCUAUAUGUCGUUUGCAUGACGGCCGAGUUGAAAACGAGGCAUAUGUCUGUGUUCUUUGCGUUUGUGUGUUGUAAAUUACUUUCUAUUGUGGAAGUUCUUGGAGUUUUAUUACGCAAGGAGUGCCAACGUAAACAUAAACAGAUAUGGGUGUCUGAAAUUCUGAAUUACCCAUAAUACCCUUUACGACUGAUAAGUGAGCUACACGGCCUGUGUGAAUCAGCUACCAUAUGUUGCGACGCUCAUCCGUGUGGUAGACUGAUGCAUGAUGCGCGUUUAUUUCUGUACUGUUGUAAAAACCAUUUGUUUAUUCACUCAAUACAAAUGUACGGCUUCUUCGCCGCAGUACAUUUUCGUUACGCGGUGAAGCAUACUAAAAGUGGGAGGGGGUCGCUAUCAGCCAGCAUAGUAUGCCCACUUAGGCGACCUGAGAGUCGGCGGGUGCGCGAGUGUAUAAUUAAAGAACUCACAUUAUGUCCAGUGACAGUGGCCCCUUUUCACUUUUAGUAUGCUUCACCGCAGUACACUGCUUAGGCUUCACCGCGAAAUAUUAGUGUAUUGCGAGAAAGAUAACCGUAAAAAGCCUAAUCAUGCAACGCUUCUUUCGUAGCUUGCUACACCGCAAUACAGGGGUGUAAAUAAGCAUCGUGCAGUAAAGCAUACUAAGAGUGGAAAGGGCACGUAGGCUUACACUGUGCUCAUUAUUUUCAAUUGUGACAUAAUUUGCAAGUGCAUCUAUGCUCGUGGUAAGCUUCAUUGACAAUUCUUUGUACAUUACAAAUUCACAUUGCAGAGAAGCUUACUAAAGCACAUUUGCCAUUAUGGUACGUCCUAUUCACCUUCAAUGCAGGAGCACAAUGCGGAUUCUUGCCCCUGCUUUUGGCUGGACUGCACAUGCUCUUUGAGAAUUUAUUCAUUGUUCAUAAGUGCACUGGUAGUUUACUCUAAACUGGAGGGCUCAAGUUGAUAUCAAAGCACAAUUUUUAUUAAGGGGACAAGAUGAUACCGAGAUGGUUGCAGCACAACUUUUCUUUUUCUUCCAGGCGCCUUUUCUACUUGAAGCUUCCAUUGCAGUGUUUCGAGUCUCUUUGAACCAGCACAUAGUGUAUAUAAAAAUUGGACACUGAUUGGGAACAUCACCUAAGUUCAUGCCUAUGUAUACAAAAAGAUGUGGCACGACCAGACAAAAUAAAAGAAGGGGGUGGGCUGCAGCAAUACUAAGUGUUAAAUGGUGCCUUAUCAUUUCCCUUGAGUUUUCUGUUUUGUGCUUUUUGUUAUAGAUCCUCCACAGUAACCACACGAGUACCGAACUUGAGCUUGUUGGUUUCAGAUCUCAUGGUUGUUACUAACAGAACAGUGUGAUAAACGAAAAUGGGCUUGGAGGCAUCCGUUCACCUUGCUUGCCUCAUGGUGCUGCUUCAUAAGCACCGUGAGCAUCGAGGCCAACUAGGAAGGGAGGUUUGUUGCAAUUGCUUCUGAACUGUAUUGCCACCAAACAGUGCUCUCAAUGACAACUUUUGGACAGCAGAAUGCUUGCACCCAGCAAAGUCUAAGAAGGAAGCAUUCAGGAUGUGCGAAGUGGGUCUUUUCAAGCUGGCAUCAUCGCUGAAGGGGUUUUGCCUGUCUGCCCUCAUUAUGGAUACACAAAGAUGAUUUCCUCUUUGAGAGGGAUUGUUUCAGCGGUCGCUACAUGGCAACAAUGCUGGGUGUAUAGUAGCUUGUCUUUGCUCACUGUCAAUAAUAUGUUCCUUUUUCCAGUGCCCCUGUGGAAAUGCCUACUUUUUGGACACAAAGUGCUCUCCAUGCAUGCAUGCAUUUUUAGCUUGUAAAGACAUCUAUUACCCCUUGCCUCAAGCUUGUCCUUGCUGAUGUCACCCAAGAAGGUAUUGGGGAGUAUGGCAAUGUACACUUACAAAACACUGUUGAUACCAGUGAAACCAAAUUAAUGGAGCUGCUGUUCUUUUUUUGUCCACUCCAUCCUGGUUAGUUACAAUGAGCAAUGUCCGAACAGAAGGCAUAUGUAGUUGGUUGUGCAUAUAACCACACGCGGUGAAUCGUGCGCGCCUGGCUGCGCGUCACGCGUCUGCGAGGCCGUACGCGCCUGUCCUACGCGUCUAGAGAGGGCAGACGUGCAGGAAACGCGCGCGUCAAGGAGGUCUUGAUCUUGGGCGUCAUUUUGAGCGUACGCGACGGAAGUGGCAGCUUGUGCACCGACGUCACGUGGGCCGCAUGUACACUUCCGGCGGUUCGGAAAGGUUGAAGUUUCAGAAUCGUGCGGAGACGCCGGGAGUCGCUGCUGGUUUCGUGUCGAUAGAGCACAGAGGCUAUGGAGGCGAUCAACAACGAAGCGCUGAUCGCCUGCGUUGAGGCUCGACCUGCGCUUUGGUAGCAGGCGAAACACAAGCGCCACUAGAACAAGCACUUGACAAGGUGGUCGUGCAUCGUCAUGCCCAACGCUGCCGAACAGAUGACGUUAUCACAGCGCUGCAGAAGUGAUGGAAGUCCCUGGGGAAUAGAUUUCGGCGCCUGGGAAGACGUUUCAGAAAGAAAAGAGCCGCGCCGUGCCAGUCGGCGUUCACGACGACGUCAUCGGGCUGUUUUUCGACCAGAUGAUGUUUCUGCGCUACACAAUGGAGUGUAGACCGAUGUCCGCCAACCUUCCACCAGUGCCCCCAUCGAUUGAGGAGAGAAGUGCUGCAGACAUCUUCACAGAAAAUGUGCCAGUUUUCCGAUCUGGCAACACUUGAAGUGCCAUCACCGUCAAGUGAAGAGUCACAAGCGCCAGCAUCGACUCUGUCUUAGGCGUCGCAUGAGUCUGUGGAGUCUCAGGACAUUUUGGAAUCUCUUGAAUCACCGAUGUUUCAAAAAGUUCUGGUUCCUGAGGAUUCUGAGGCACACCACAGCAGUCCGCAGUCAGAAGCAUCGCUGGCUUCAGCAGGCAGUCGUAGGCUGGAUACGUUAGGAAGCAUUGCUUCUGAAGCAAAGUCAAGGGGGAGGAAAAAGAAAGAUUACAGUCAGUUAAUAUUGGAGGAAUUAGGCAAUGUUUCAAGUGCAAUCAAAAGACGCAAACCACAGGACGACCUUGAACUUGAUAUGCAUCUCGACUUGAAAAUUAAAUUGAUGCAUGUAGGAGAGUAAUUCAAAGAUUUAUGUUUUUUAAUGUAUACUUUUUGUAUAAUAAAGCCGAGACAAUGAAACAAAAGGAAAUCAUUGAUGAAUUUAAUUACUUUAUAUCGAAAUGGAAAAAUAAGGAGGAAAAUGAAAGUAUAUGAAAAGGUAGCUUCCCACUAAUGGGAGACGAACCCACAACCUUUGAAUUAAGCUUGCAUUGCUUUACCAGUAGAGCUGCAGCAAUGGCUAUCCCUCUGCAAACUUUCUUGGGCCUGUAUGUGCAUGUACUAUAUCUAACCCUGGUAGUGUUAGCCAGUGCUACUCGUGCAAGAACACUCCAAGAGCCUAACCUAGUACACAUAAACAUUCUAUGAAAUUGAUGGUGGAAUAGCCUCCAGCUCAAUUGGUUUUGGUUUUAGCUCCCACCAAUGGCAAGUUAUAUUUUGUCCACUUUCAUUUCCCUUCUCCUUCUGAUGUUGACAUUACAAAUAAAAUGACAGUUAUUUUCCUUUACGCUUUA